Molecule: ribosomal RNA, 429 nt
Filed under: bacterium
Lineage: Bacteria
Description: partial 16S ribosomal RNA
Rfam family: Bacterial small subunit ribosomal RNA
Source: RNAcentral
UAGGGAAUCUUCGGCAAUGGGGGCAACCCUGACCGAGCAACGCCGCGUGAGUGAAGAAGGUUUUCGGAUCGUAAAGCUCUGUUGUAAGAGAAGAACGUGUGUGAGAGUGGAAAGUUCACACAGUGACGGUAACUUACCAGAAAGGGACGGCUAACUACGUGCCAGCAGCCGCGGUAAUACGUAGGUCCCGAGCGUUUUCCGGAUUUAUUGGGCGUAAAGCGAGCGCAGGCGGUUUAAUAAGUCGUCAGUUAAAGGUAGUGGCUUAACAAUUGUUCGCUUUGGAAACUGUUAAACUUGAGUGCAGAAGGGGAGAGUGGAAUUCCAUGUGUAGCGGUGAAAUGCGUAGAUAUAUGGAGGAACACCGGUGGCGAAAGCGGCUCUCUGGUCUGUAACUGACGCUGAGGCUCGAAAGCGUGGGGAGCAAACAGG